UCCUGGUGUGAGGAUGGUGUGGCUUCUG
This 28-nucleotide non-coding RNA is filed under the name Mus musculus (house mouse). The record is from RNAcentral. Lineage: Eukaryota; Metazoa; Chordata; Mammalia; Rodentia; Muridae.